Molecule: RNA transcript, 1811 nt
Organism: Corvus hawaiiensis (hawaiian crow)
Lineage: Eukaryota; Metazoa; Chordata; Aves; Passeriformes; Corvidae
Gene name: transmembrane protein 182-like
Exons: 7
Source: RefSeq, a predicted model, not a curated record
CCUCAAUAAGAAAUGUAGUCAAAAUUUUUGUCAAUCCUCUCCAGGUUCCUCAGCCAGUGUGCAGUUGCUUUGAGAUGCUCAUAUGUUCACAGGAGGGAGAACAUCAUUUACAACUGCAGGACACCCCCGGUGUGUCCGUGUGUGCACCUGGUUGGAUGCUCCUUGUCCAGCUCCAUGUGGACCUGCCUGGUGCAAAGGUGGUGAUUGCAUCACUUCCAAGAGGGCUGGGAUAUUUAAGAUCUCCCACUGUUUUAAUGUUUUUCUUGGAUCCCUGAGGUUGCUUUCUGUAAAAGCUGCAUCAGAGUUUUGCUCAGAGGAAGAAGGAGACGCAAAUUCCAGAAGUGCCACCUGUGGGACACAGUGAGAGGUAUCACUGCAGUGCUUGAGGACACCACGGGCUCCAUGGUGUGGGGAAAACCUUUGAGUCCACCCCUGCUCAUCCAUGCAGAGAGGGAUGGGAAAAGCUCCCCGGUGGCCUGGGAAUUCUGCACUCGUGACCCAGAGCCGUGUCCUGAGGGCUCCCGGCUCCACUCCUCCGGCAGGAGCAGCCAUGUGUCGCCUUGGAUGGCUCCCUGCUCUGCCUCAAUAGCUGUUUGUCAUGAUCCUUAAUGCCACAGCUGCUUGCUUGUGCCAGGUCAUCUGCUUUUAUUAGUCCUGCUCCACCACCCACUGAAACUCACACCAGCCAGGAGAUCGUUAUCCACAUCCAAAAAUAGCAAUCCUCUGGCCCUGCUCUUCCAGAGACCUGGGAAACUUGGGGGUUUUCCUCCUUUUCUCCAGUUGUGCUGGUUUCCCCCCUGCUGCCCCAUGAAGGCCGGAGCAGCCGCCCUGGCAGCCGGGAUCCUCGGAGGCACCGGGGUGUUGCUCUUCCUCAUUGCCUUUGGGACGGAUUAUUGGCUUCUGGCCACGGACACCUGCGCGGUCUUCGAGCAUGGGAACAGCACUCUGAGCACCGGAGUGGCUGAAACUCCAACAGAGGUUGGGAAGGAGAUCCUCACUUUCCACCACGAGGGUUUCUUCUGGCGGUGCUGGUUCUUUGGCGAGGGCCACCCUGAGACCAUCUGGACCUUCUGGUACACCAGCCAAGCACACUCCAAGUUCUGCAUGCAUGGCUACCUCUUCCCCAUGCCCAUUGCUCUCGGACCUUUCCCCCAUCCCUCCUACGACACAACUGCAGUGUACAGAGGCUUUUGGACGGCGUUCAUCCUGCUGGCCGUGGCUGCUGGGCUCGUGGGGGGGCUCCUGCUGGUGUGUGGGGUCCCCUUCUCCAGUCCCCGCUCCUACAAAGUCGGGGGAGGAUUCCUGCUGCUCUCAGGAGGUUUGUUCCUCCUGCUCGUGUUUCUCUUUGUGAUGUGGAAGGAGUUUGCAGCUGACUUCCAGAAGUACAUCCUCCUGGAGAGGAGCGAGAAGUGCCUGGAUGAUGUCCCUGUGCACGUCUACUAUGGGUGGUCCUUCAUGUUUGCUGCUGCUGGGGUGCCCCUGGUGUUACUCUCUGGACUCCUCUUCUUCCUGGUGGGCAGAGACAUUAUGGAUUCCCUGCAGUAAGACAAAUGUGGAGAAGGCUUUGAGAAAAUUGGUGAUGCUCCUUGGAAAGAAACACGCCCAAAUUCUGAGGACUUGAUAAUUUUUGUAGCUACAAUUAUCAGGCUGGCUCUAAUUGACAUCAAAGGACAACCAUUUUAAUGGGAUGUCGGGAAACAUGAGAAACUUUUUUCUUCCUUAAAAGCCCUGAUUCCGAAGAUACAAAUAUACCUGGACCUAAGCUAACUUUCAUUAAGGGAAUAAACCAAUUUCUGUGGCUUGAAACAUAA